UGAAGUAGGUGGAUCUUCUUAUCUUAAUAUGACACUAUUAAUCCAAGAUAUAAUCCAACAAUCUUCAAAGAUGGGUGUGGAUAUGAUUCCAACCUCACAUCGCCAUGAGAACUAAGGAGAUAAAAUAAGAGCGAGGCUCUAUCUAAUAAGAAAAUCGAGAUAACGUCAAAGAGUGAUUUAUUCGGUUGAUGUAGUUUUUUUGUUGUUGUUUUUUUGUGUUUCGUAUUAUUAUCAGUCUGUGUCUUGUAACCACAAUUUGGUUUAAUGAAAUAAUUACGGUACGUUUUUCAAUUGCCAUUACUUAACAGCAUUGAUUUAUUUUUUUCCAUUUUUUUCUCCUUUUCUCAAUUGAUGGUCGACUCUCAAUCAUCGAACUCCUCAUGAUCCCAAACCCCAAAUGUUAGGCAUAUUCGUAGUGCCAUAGUUUCUAACUGAAUGUACUUUGCAAAUGUGAAGAUCAGCUUCUCCGUAGUGUCAUAGUUGUCACCAUUUCCCUUGAGAUUCUUUUGUUAGAACUAUAACACAUUAAUAUAAACAUAAUGGAUCAUGUUUUGUCAUGUUAGAUCGUUAAUAAUAAAAACGAGAUGCAGAAACAUAUACAAAUCUAUCAAUAUGUUGAUAUCUUUGAAUCGUGUUGUUUCGAUCUUCCAAAUUAAUAUACAAAAAGGUGACUUUUUUUUUCUAAAUAUGGGAUGUCAGAGAGGUUAUGUAUGUGUAAUUUGGAGACCAUAAUACUAAUAUAAAUUUUUUGCACAUUUACCCCAUCAUUAAUUAGAAAUUAGUUGCUAGACUAUCUACACAUAUUUGACCAAUACUUCAUUUCAUUUAAUAACUGAAUCCCAAGAAGCCUUAACUGUAACAGCUCGAUUUUCAACGGUGUUGUAAAAAGCGAUUUUAAAAUCUCAUUUUCAUAAAUUGGGUCCGUAAAUAUUAAAUAUGAAUAUUUACGAAGUUGGUAUAAAAGAAUAUUAAUAUUUGGUCCUUCAAUUUUGUCAAUUAAUUGCUUAAUUAGGGUACAUGAACUAAAUUAUAAAUGUUUGAUCGCUAUAAGUUUUUAAUUGACCAAAGACUUUGGGGCUUAUAUUGCAAUUAGUCAAAGGUCCAAAAUGAUAAAUAAACAAUUUUAUAAUAUAUAAUAGUGGAUGGUGAUGGGAACGUCCACUAAUUUUUAUUAAUGGUGAUUAAGUUUAAUUAAUUAAGGUUUAAUUAAGUUAAAUAAGUAAUUAAAUAUUUAAUUAAAGUAUAUAAGGCAAAUUUUAGUGGGGUUUUUUUUAUUUUUUUCAUUUCACCUAACUGUACAUGCUUUUAAAACCUAAGAACUACCAUUUUUCAAGCUCAAGUUAUUCGGUCCCUAAUUGAUAAAAAAUUGGAUCAAAUCGGAGAUUAAUGGGGAAAAGUCAAAAUUGUCGAUUAGUCCCUAAAUAUUCAGCUGUUUGUUGUUUAGAUUAGACAAGUUCAUAUGAUAUUUCUUUAUAUAGGUUGUUGUGUAUUUGAUUUGUAAUUAUAUAUGUGUUUGGUUGUGAAUUGAUUCAAAAUGUAAGAUUUGGACUAAAAUGAAAAGUGAUGGUUACAUGUGAAAUUGAUGCAUGUGUGAACUUAGUAAAGGUUAGGAUAUGAUUGGCAUGCCAAUAGGGUUUUGUGCUCACUUGUACGGGAUUAAUUACAGAUGUUACCGAGAUUCAAUACUUGUUGCGGAUACUCAAAUACAUAUGAUAAAGGUUUAGCUCAGACAUGUAACUUGAUACCGUUUUAAAGGUUUAGCCCGAACGGGUAACCUAACAAGAAUAUAUUCAGCUCGGACGAGCAACUGGUGUGAUAUAGAUACCUAUGUAUCCGAGUUCGUUUACAAGGGUUCAUCAAGUAAAAUACUUUAUAUGAAACGAGAACUGGAAAUGAGAAUAAAUGAAUUUGAAUCAAAUGAAUGAAUAUUGAAUGAAUUAAGUAUAAUGCCUUUGAUCAUGUGUGUGGACAUAUUAAUCUUGAAUUGAAUGAGUUGUGUCACAUCCCAAAAAUUGGGUUAGAAGAUAUGGGGCUAGUAAAACCGAGAGUGACCGCGUUCUGGAUUUUUAGUUAAGGCUAUGAAAAUUAUGUUAAAUGUGUUAAUUUGAUUUAGUGGAUAGGUGUUGUGCUUAUGUGUGUGCUGUUCUAGGUUUGAAUCUUUUCUUUGAAUUUUUGUUAUUUAUGCCUUUACUUCUAUUUCUGAUCCUCUAGCAUAAAUAAUAUUUUUGUUCAAUUGAUGACAAGAACGAGUUUGUUAGUUAAAUGGUAAGGUGUUAGCUUACUUUUUAAUUUUGUGUUUGAAUCCUCAAAAAUAAAAAUAAUUUUAUGUCAAUUUUGGUGUCGUCUCCGAGUUUGGUUUUUAUUAAAACUUCUUAAAAUUGAGUUAGUUAGAAAUGGGAUAUGAUUUGAAUUCUUUUGAUUAUAAAUAAGUUUUUAAUUAUCUCAAUGCUUUUUUUAUUAUUAUAUUACUAAUUGAUGUUAGAAUAAUAUUUUUAUUAUUAAAAUUUAAAUAUUAAAAAAUAUUUUAAUAAAUCUUGAAUUGCACUUUGUAUUCAAGUUAAAAAACACUUUUACUAUAAUUUAAAUUAUUAAAUGUUGAGUUAUACUUUACUUAUAUUGCAAGAUUUUCUUUCAAAUAAUAGUUAAAAGUUCUCAAAAAAUUCAAUUGCCAUUAUUAUUUUUAGGCUAAAAUUAUGAGUUGAAUUAUUAUUGUUAUUAUAAUUUACUUUAAAAAAUAAUAUAUUUAAAUUAUAUUCAAUAAUUUGAAUAAAAUUAUGUCCCGUAGAAAUAAAUUAUCUAAUGAGAAAAGGAAACACUUGAAAUUAUGUGAUAAUACAGGGAAGCUUUUGGUCAUUUUAAUAUUGUCUAAAUAAAUUUAUUUCGGUCUAACCUGUUAAAAAAAUUUAAAAACUCAAGUUUCACAAAUUUUCAGCACAUGAAACCCCAAAGGAACAAAAUCAAAGUUGAGUUGAUGGAUUGAACAUUGUAAGCCUUGGCAGUAACAUGGUUAAAGCUCCAUGAAAUUGAAAGAUGGCAUUGCCAUGAGCUAUGAGUUUUUAUCAGAAACUUUUUCUUUCCAAGUACCCUCUUAGAAAACAUGCCAAGCUUUGUAUUCAACCCUUUAGAGAUGACCAUUGAUCCUGACUUUAGAAAUCAAGGGUUUCCUUAAAUCUACACAAAUGGCUAAUCUGGCGAACCUUCCCCUUGUUGCCUCCGCUUUAAGUUGUGUAAUUUGCUCAGUUGUUGUCGCUUGCAUAUGAGCCAUCUGGCCUCUUAACCUCUGAACUUCAGCUUCGGCUCGACUCCCCGAAGGCAUAUAUUGUUGCGAACUAGAUCCAAAAUAUUGGGAUGGGUUAACAAAAGAUCCUUGAAAUCGAACCCGACCAUACCUUUCAGGACCCAAAACUUCAGUGAUAAUCCGGUUAUCAAUGUCGUCAAUAUGAACAGAACUAUCACUGGAAGCAAUCGCUUCGUACUCCGCCUUUUUAUCCUUUAAUUUUUCCUAAAAAAUAAAUCACAUAGUUAGGAACGCAAUAUAUAUUAAAAAACCCAAUGCAACAUAACUUAAAAAUAUUUGCAUUACAAUAAAUGAAAUAAAUCAUUAGAAAAUAAACACUAUAAAUAAUUAAAACAAGUGAAAUUGUAUUAAGCAAACGUACCAUAAUUUCUGCAGCUUCAAGAGUCAUAGGGUUUCCAUCUUUCUUCCUAUGUGUAAUGUCAAAAAGUUGAAGGCGUCCAACUUUUUGACCGGACGACUGUUCCUACAAUACAAUAGUAAAAAUAUUAAUUGAUAGAAAGUAAUAAAUAUCUGCCAAUAUUAAAAAAAUUCAAAAUACCUCUGCAUGAGCUACACACGCAAAACUUUUCGACCCAGCUGUGUGAGUGAAUUUUUGUUGCUGCCUACUAUUUUUUCCAACUCGUUCACGAUCCUACAUUAUGAAAUUAUUAGUACGUUAAUUAGGAAAUACUAUACACUAAAAUAAUUACAAAAUUUUAUAAGUUACGCAUACCUCUCCUUUCUUCGAAGUCCAAAAUCUAACGACCUCUUCCCACUGGUACCUCAGCAUUCCCGGCGGGACAUUUUGUAAUCUCUUGUCGAGUGUUUUUUUGUCUUAAAAUAGUCUUUCUUUAAAGUGCUCUUAUGGUCUCUCCAUCUUUUUCCCAAUGCCUUUUUUACAUAAGCAUCGGAGACAUCUAGAGCAAAUCUCGCUUACAAAAAACACAACUUAAGAAAGUAAAUGUAAACGAAACUUAAACCCAAGUAUUAUAAAUGACAUACACGUUUUGUUACCUUAAUGUUAUCGAGUGCUUGGUUCUUGUUACUCUCGGGCACUUUAUGCCAUGACUCGAAGUUAAUUGGCAACAUAUUUGCAUUCCGUACUAGAAUGCCCAUGUAUCCUGCUAAAAGGCGAGCUUCUGAUCCAAUAGGCUGACCAAAGCUAUUACUGGAUACUUGGACACGCUCGACUGGAUCUAGCUCGUAUAAAUCGCUCAGUACCGUACGUCCGCGAACUUUCCGCGUCCCACUAGUUUCAUCUGAAAAAUAAAAGUAUUGUAAUAUACGAAAUUUAUAAAAAUAAACAAGAAGUCAACACACAUGUAAAUUAAAUGUUAAAUUAAUUUGAACUUCUAUAGGUUCCUCAGGUGUAACCAGAACAUUCGAAGAUCCAAUAGCAGUCUGUUGUUCAGUGCUGUUUGUUUCCGCCGAGUUUGGAGUACCUUGAACAAUACGGUACGAUCGCACUUUUUUUCUAGGCAUUUUAUCUGCAAUACAAAUAAACUAGUUGAAAACAUAGUAUACAAUUACAACAAUAAUAUCACAUAUAAAAUAGUUGAAAUAUCAUCAUUCGUAAAUAUAAUUAGAUAAUCGUAAAAGCUUACUACAUUAUAAUUCGUAAAUAUCUUCAUCCUGGUGGACCCAUUGAAAUUGUGUACUAGUACUAGGGAUGUUUUCGUUUAAGUUCUGUUCUGGAAAUGACAAAGUUUGUGUUCUAUCAUCAAUGUCAUCUCUACUUCCACUGCCCAUGUCAAACAAGUCUCUGGGGAUGUUACGGAGUACAACGUACCAACCCUCAUCAGUUGGAUCUUUUGAGUAAAAAACUUGUUUGACUUGAGAAGAAAAUACAUACAGCUCAUCAAUCAAUUGUUGUCCUAUGUGAAUCAAUCGAGCGAAGUUUACCAUUGUGAAACCAAAUUGAUCUUGCUUGAUUCCACGUGCAGUAUUAACAUCGGCCCAAUCACCUCGAAAUAAGACAACUUUCCAUUUUCCGUAGUAAUCCAACUCAAUUAUGUCAGUAAGAAGUCCAAAAUAUUCCACAUUUCCCUCCACAGGAUUAUUGUCCCUAGCACUAGCAUAACUUGUAAUUGAGGAAUUAACAACUAUACCACAAUUUUGCAUUCUCCUCAAUCUCUCGCGAUAUUUUGUAUGAAAUCUGAAUCCGUUUAUAAGGAACGCACUACAUCUUUUAACCACCCGAUUUGGACCUUAGGAAAGCCAUUUAACUUCACCGGUGACAUUCUUCCCACUCCAAACCUAUUGAAUGGAAAGUAAACUGAGUAAUUAAAAAUGUUUUGAGUAAAUAUUAUUAUUUGUCGGUGAAAGCUCCAAUUACAUACCGUUUGGCUUAACCAUUCAUGAAAAGAUUCUGUAAACAACUUAUUGAUAUCUCAAUGUUGUGUUCUUCGGGAGUGCAAACGAGAUCUCAAUAUUUGUUUGUACUCACUAUGUUAAAAAUAUGUUCAGUUUGUUAGACUAUAAACAAUUUUUAAAUGAUGAAUAUUUAUCAAAUUUCUAGAACUUACUUGCGUAAAUGUUCCAUUGAUUCGUGGUGAAACAGAACAUAUCGAUGUGCUUGUACCCACGAUAAAUCAUCUAAUUCUGUAAUUUCAACUUUACUGAUUGGUUCUCCAAAACUUUGGAACAAAUAAUUAUCAGCAAAGUUAUGAUCCGUGAGUCCAGCAUUUCUAUUUGGUCUGUUCAACCUUGUUUCAACAUCUUCCAAAUAUCUUGAACAGAAGGUCAUACAUUCCUCUGCCAAGUAGCCUUCAGCAAUCGAUCCUUCUGGAUAACGCUUGUUGCGGCAAUAAGACUUUAAUUUGGAUAGGAACCUAAACACGAUAUACAACAUUAUCAAAAGUUGUAACUAAAUGCAUAUAGGUGAAUGAAGGAAAAUUUUAAAAAUUGUAAUUAACACCUUUCUAUGGGAUACAUCCAUCGAUAGAAAACGGGUCCGCCAAGAAUUGCUUCAUGCGGGAGAUGGAUAUCAAGUGAACCAUAAUAGUGAAAAAGGAAGGUGGGAAGAUUUUCUCCAUGUUGCAUAAAGUUAAAGCGGCUCGAUCCUGUACCUUCUAAAGUUCUUGAACAUCCAAAACUUUGCCACAAAUGGCUUUCAUUAUAUUGGAUAGUUCAAUUAUACAAGAUGUCACCUUCUUCGAAAUACAACAUCGUAGAGCAACUGGCAGUAAAUCUUGCAUCAAGAUGUGAUAGUCAUGUGAUUUUAGCGAAUAUAGUCUUCGAUCUUUAACACUAACACAUCGAGAUAUAUUUGAUGCAUACGCAUCUGGAACCUUUAUAUCCUUCAACACCAUGCAGAACACUUCUUUCUCUGUCUUCGACAUUGAGAAAAUAGAAGGCGGCAACCGAUAUUUACCAUUCGGAAGUGGAUUCGGAUGAAGAUCAGGUCGAAUUCCAAUCUGAACUAAAUCAAGUCGACUCUGAAGAUUGUCUUUUGAUUUUCCGUCUACAUUCAAAAUUGUACAGACAAUGUUCUCGCAGACAUUUUUCUCAAUAUACAUAACAUCAAGAUUGUGUCGUAAAAGGUGGUGCUCCCAAUAUGACAACUCAAAAAAAAUACUUCUUUUUUUCCACAAGUCCGCCUCAUUAGGAUCAUCCUCUUCAUCGGAGUUAUCAUUAGCUUCAUCAUUUGAUCUUCUAUUUCUUUGCAUGUUUUGCGGUUGAUUCAUCUUCCCAUAACUGACAUUCAUAUCUUCCAACAUUAACAAGAUUUCAGAUCCACUUGUCUGCGAAGGAGCUUCUCUGAACUCUUCAAUACCGUCAAAUGCCGAACUCUGAAAUCUAAAUAUAUGAUUUUUCGGUAACCACCGACGAUGCCCCAUGUAAGAGAACUUCUUCCCAUUGUAUAACCAUUGCGAACAUGUUUGUGCAGCACAACAAGGGUACGCAUAACGACCCUUGGUACUCCAACCGGAUAAAUUGGCAUAAGCGGGGAAGUCAUUAAUGGUCCACAUCAAAGCUGCACAUAAAUUAAAGUUCUCCUUUCUCAGCACAUCGUAUGUCUCGACACCAGCCCAUAAUUGUUUUAACUCUUCAAUAAGUGGCUGUAAAUAAAUGUCGAUAUCAUUCUGGGGCCCUUUCUCUCCAGGGAUAAUCAUAGAUAAGAUAAGGGAAUAUUGCUUCAUGCAAAUCCACGGAGGCAGAUUGUAAGGAACAAGCACUACUGGCCAAGUACUGUAUGCAGUACUCAUGAUCUUGUAAGGAUUAAAUCCAUCAGAUGCUAGGCCAAGCCUCACACUCUUGGGAUCGCUUGCAAAGCUUGGAAAUUUAUUGUCAAAUGAUUUCCAAGCUAAAGAAUCUGCCGGAUGCCUUAAUAAUCCAUCAUCGGUUCGUCCUUCAUGGUGCCACGUCAUUGACUUCACUGUCUUCGACGACAUGAAAAGCCUUUGAAGCAUUGGUAUCAGCGGAAAAUACCGCAAAAUCUUGACCGGCUUCUUUCUUGGCUGUGCAUCAGUUUCAUCGUCGUUCCCAUCUUCUGUGUUUCUAUUUAUCCAACGGGAGUCGCCACAUACAUGACAGCACUAUUGGUUUCUCCGAUCGCCCCAAUACAACAUGCAAUCAUUCGGGCAACUAUGGAUUUUGUUGUACCCAAGACCUAAGUCUUUUAUCAUUUUCUUCAUAUCUUUGCAUGACUGAGGGAUUUUUGCAAACGGAAACAUUUCUCUUAAAAACUCUAACAGCAUUGUCAAUGAGUUCCCGGUCCACCCUCCCAAACAUUUUAACUGGAAAAGACGAAUGCAGAAAGACAUUUUUGAAAAUUUCGAUCCCUCAUAUAAUUCUUCGUUCAUCUCAUUAAGUAGCGCGUAGAACUUUGCCGCUUCUCCAUUCGGCUUUUCAUGAUGUACACUUCUUCUGGGUUCGGUAAAAACAUUUCCACCGAGAUUACAAUCAUCAGAUGGCACAAAGUCGGGUGGGAACAACUGUAAACCAUGACUGUGAAUAUUAAAUGCUUCCCGCAACAUCCCUUCCAUGUCAUCCCCUCUAAUAGACUGAUGGUAAGCAGUACUAUCAUAAGAUACAUCCAUCCUUGAAGAGGAAGUACUAGGCGGGCAUUCUCCAUGAAAAAACCAUUGUUUAUUACCACGAACAAACCCAUCAACAAUUAGAUGCUCGUAUACAACUUCACGAUAAUGCCAGUUUAUGUUGACACACUUCUUACACGGGCAAAGAAUCAUGUUCUCUUGGCUUGCAUAUUGAAAUGCAAAAUUUAGAAAAGUUUGUACUCCAUUUCGAUAACCGUCGCUUACCCUUGACAAAUUCAUCCAAGACCGGUCCAUUUCUUAUUUCUUCAAGCCUAAUCUUGACAAUAAAUUGCACGGGUUUAGGAUUUAGGAAUAAGUAUAAUUAAGCUAUGUAAGUUAUGUAUUAUGUAAGUUAUUUAUUAUGAAAAUUAUGUAAGUUGUGUAUUAUGAAAAUUAUGCUAUAUAUGUAAGUUAUGUAAGUCAUAUAAGUUAUGUAUUAUGUAAGUUAUGUAGGUUAUUUAUUAUGAAAAUUAAUGUAAGUUAUGUAAUUUAUGAAUAAUUAAAAAAAAGUAAGUUAUGUAAGUUGUAAGUUAUGUAAGUUAUGUAUAAUAUUAAUUAAUUAAGUUAUGUAAUUUAUGUAUUGCAUUAAUGUAAGUUAUGUAAUUUAUGUAUAAUAUUAAUGCAAGUUAUGCAAGUUAUGUAUAAUAUUAAUUAAUUAAGUUAUGUAAUUUAUGUAUUGCAUUAAUGUAAGUUAUGUAAUUUAUGUAUAAUAUUAAUGCAAGUUAUGCAAGUUAUGUAUAAUAUUAAUUAAUUAAGUUAUGUAAUUUAUGUAUAAUAUUAAUUAAUUAAUAUUAAUGUAAUUUAUGUAUAAUAUUAAUGUAAGUUAUGUAAUUCCGGUGUUUUAAUUAAUUAUGUAAUUUAUGUAUAAUAUUAAUGUAAGUUAUGUAAUUUAUGUUUAAUAUUAAUGUAAGUUAUGUAAGUUGUAAGUUAUGUAAGUUAUAUAUAAUAUUAAUUAAUUAAGUUAUGUAAGUUAACUAUUUUAAUACAAAAGUGGUAAACGAGUUUAAUUAAGUUCAAACUCAAGUAACUCAAUUAUAUCUUCAAACUUAUUUAUCUUCAAACUUAUUUCUACAAGUUUACCACUAAGGUAUUUUCAUCAUUUUCAAACUUAUUUAUCUUCAAACUUAUUUCUACAUGAUUAACUGACGCUGAUACAUUACAACAUAAGAAUGAAAAUUUACCUUCCACGCCAAAGAAUAGACGACUUAUGCAGCGAAAGAGGCAGCAAGCUUGCGGGAAGAAAUUGACUGCAUAUGACCAAUGAAUUUUGUCAUAUAAACAAAUAAGAUGUUUCAUCCAUGAAAUGCACUGGAUUAAGCAUUUCUAUAUUAUUUGACUGCAUAUGACCAAUGAAUUUUGUCAUCUAACUAUAUAUGCACUGGAUUUUUUUAUUUUAUUUCAUUUAAGCUAUAUACAUAUUUUAAUUAUGCUAUAUUUUUGGUGAUCACAACACGAAACCAAAUUUCCAAUAAUUUCGGUCAAGACUUGACUGAAAACGUGGCUUCUACGUCUCUCAAGUCAAAUUUAACAACAUCAGUAUUAACAUAGGCACUAACAUUAAUUUCAAUUAAUUAACUACUUCAUACUAUAGGAAUCAAUUUAUAGUUAAAAAAUUUCGGAGAAGAAUCUAUCAAAUAUAGGGGAGGUUAGGUCAUUUGGCAUGAAAAUUUUAAAUCUAAAGUUAGAUAUAUUUAAUUCAAUUUAUAAAUGCUAAACUGAUUAAAUGAUUCGCCCAUAAUUUAUUCAAUUACUCAAAUAUAUAAAGUUAUUUAAGAAUUAUAUUCCGAAUUUUAAUAGUUUAAAACAAUUGCAUUUGCGGAAUAGCAAUUCUUAAAUUUAAACAUCAAAUAAUGUAAUAAGCUGCAAAGUCAAGUGCAAAUUUAGCUAAAAUGGUAAAUAAAACUCCCUUCUAAACAUGAAAAAUAAUAAUUAAACUAUACAACUAAAAUAUAACCAAAAAAAUUAAACUAUACAAAAAAAAAUAUAACCAACUUAAAGAUCCAGCUAGCAAUCUGUUUUGUUCUUUUUAUUUUUGCCUUUCAAUAAAUUAGCCUUUCUGGGUUGCCUGACCCAUCAUCACGUUUGUAUAUUGUACAUACAGAUGUUGGAACCGAUAUUUCCCAAUGGAGGACUUCUGCAUCUUGGUUACUAGGAAUAUUCCAAAUUUACCUCACCUAUAUUAACCCAAAUUUAAAGCCGAGCCAAUCUGACUUGAUAAGUUAACAACUCAAAUACAUUUAAGCAUAACUUCAAUUCAUUUCAACUGAAAUGGAUUAAACCUAAUACUUAUCGGGAGUAAAAAAAAGUAAUUCCCAUGCGCAAAAAAUAUUCAACAAAUUUGUAAUGAUAAAUGACAGGAAGUUGAAAUUAUUCAAACAAACCGGAUAAAUGACUGGAAGUUGAAAUUAUUCAAACAAACCGGAUAAAUGACAAGAUUAUCUAAGUUCAAAAGCUUCAGCUUUAAACUCAAAUAGAUGAAAUCCGUAAUGAUUUCAACUCAAAAAAUAUUCAACAAAUUUGUAAUUAACAUGCGCAAAAAAUGUCAAAUGAAUAAAUAUUAGAACCCAUCAAUAAUUUAUUCCUUCUGCUGAAAAUUAUUUCAUUCAAAUUGCCCAUUCCCAAUUGAUUCAUUCCAAAUAAACAAAACCCUGAAUCCCAAAUAAACAAAACCCUAAAAUUUUAUUUUUAUGACAGAAUCGGUUUAAUCGAAACCUUAAAUCCCAAAUAAACAAAACCCUAAAAUUUUAAUCGGUCAUCGACAGAAAUGGCUUACCUGUGAUACAAAUCUCGCAGCUUUGCCCAACAAUGGUGUAAAGAUCGAUUCCAAACUUCUGUUGAUUCCUGAGAUGUCGGCUCCUUUUUUUUUCUUGCUAUUUUUUUUAUUUUCUUCCCUGUCGAAUCGCUGCUGUUACUCUGCUUAAGUUUCUUCAAAUUUUGGUAAAGGAGACGGAGGGGAGGGAUUAAGUAAAUAUGUCCUCUUAGGAAACAACACCGUUUAAGGUAAUUUUAAGUCUCGUUUGCGGCGUUUUUAAAAAAAAAAUGCCUCUAUUGUAUUCACAUUUGCGGCGUUUUAGACAAAAAUGCCACUAAUAUUUUAAAGCACGUAAAGAAACGGCGCCGUUUUAAUAAAUUAUAGUGCCUGUUCUGGCGUUUUCUGAAAAAAUGCCACAAAAAUUAAUUACCUGAAUUAAACCGACAUCGUUUUUACAAACACUUAUAUAUUCUUACGGUGUUUUCAAUAAAACGCCAGUAACAGAUUCUAUUCUUCCACUGAAACGGCACCAUUUUUCCAAAUUUUAAAUUUUAUCCAUAAACUGAAACGACGUCGUAUCAAAACAGCUUGGAAAUUUUUUGUGGCGUUUUUAUAAUGUCUACCUUUAGCGGCGUUUUUGGCAAAAACGCCACUAAGGAAUUUAAAUUCUUUUACCAAAACGGUGCCGUUUUGGAAAAUUUGUAUAUAUAGUAGCGGCGUUUUUUCUAAAAACGCCGCUAAAUUUCACAUUAUUUAUUUAUUUAUUGUAUUUUCUUUAAAAUUUUUAGUAAAUAAUUUAUUCAAUUACUCAAAUAUAUAAAGUUAUUUAAGAAUUAUAUUCCGAAUUUUAAUAGUUUAAAACAAUUGCAUUUGCGGAAUAGCAAUUCUUAAAUUUAAACAUCAAAUAAUGUAAUAAGCUGCAAAGUCAAGUGCAAAUUUAGCUAAAAUGGUAAAUAAAACUCCCUUCUAAACAUGAAAAAUAAUAAUUAAACUAUACAACUAAAAUAUAACCAAAAAAAUUAAACUAUACAAAAAAAAAAUAUAACCAACUUAAAGAUCCAGCUAGCAAUCUGUUUUGUUCUUUUUUAUUUUUGCCUUUCAAUAAAUUAGCCUUUCUGGGUUGCCUGACCCAUCAUCACGUUUGUAUAUUGUACAUACAGAUGUUGGAACCGAUAUUUCCCAAUGGAGGACUUCUGCAUCUUGGUUACUAGGAAUAUUCCAAAUUUACCUCACCUAUAUUAACCCAAAUUUAAAGCCGAGCCAAUCUGACUUGAUAAGUUAACAACUCAAAUACAUUUAAGCAUAACUUCAAUUCAUUUCAACUGAAAUGGAUUAAACCUAAUACUUAUCGGGAGUAAAAAAAAGUAAUUCCCAUGCGCAAAAAAUAUUCAACAAAUUUGUAAUGAUAAAUGACAGGAAGUUGAAAUUAUUCAAACAAACCGGAUAAAUGACUGGAAGUUGAAAUUAUUCAAACAAACCGGAUAAAUGACAAGAUUAUCUAAGUUCAAAAGCUUCAGCUUUAAACUCAAAUAGAUGAAAUCCGUAAUGAUUUCAACUCAAAAAAUAUUCAACAAAUUUGUAAUUAACAUGCGCAAAAAAUGUCAAAUGAAUAAAUAUUAGAACCCAUCAAUAAUUUAUUCCUUCUGCUGAAAAUUAUUUCAUUCAAAUUGCCCAUUCCCAAUUGAUUCAUUCCAAAUAAACAAAACCCUGAAUCCCAAAUAAACAAAACCCUAAAAUUUUAUUUUUAUGACAGAAUCGGUUUAAUCGAAACCCUAAAUCCCAAAUAAACAAAACCCUAAAAUUUUAAUCGGUCAUCGACAGAAAUGGCUUACCUGUGAUACAAAUCUCGCAGCUUUGCCCAACAAUGGUGUAAAGAUCGAUUCCAAACUUCUGUUGAUUCCUGAGAUGUCGGCUCCUUUUUUUUUCUUGCUAUUUUUUUAUUUUCUUCCCUGUCGAAUCGCUGCUGUUACUCUGCUUAAGUUUCUUCAAAUUUUGGUAAAGGAGACGGAGGGGAGGGAUUAAGUAAAUAUGUCCUCUUAGGAAACAACACCGUUUAAGGUAAUUUUAAGUCUCGUUUGCGGCGUUUUUAAAAAAAAAAUGCCUCUAUUGUAUUCACAUUUGCGGCGUUUUAGACAAAAAUGCCACUAAUAUUUUAAAGCACGUAAAGAAACGGCGCCGUUUUAAUAAAUUAUAGUGCCUGUUCUGGCGUUUUCUGAAAAAAUGCCACAAAAAUUAAUUACCUGAAUUAAACCGACAUCGUUUUUACAAACAUUUAUAUAUUCUUACGGUGUUUUCAAUAAACGCCAGUAACAGAUUCUAUUCUUCCACUGAAACGGCACCAUUUUUCCAAAUUUUAAAUUUUAUCCAUAAACUGAAACGACACCAUUUUUCCAAAUUUUAAAUUUUAUCCAUAAACUGAAACGACGUCGUAUCAAAACAGCUUGGAAAUUUUUUGUGGCGUUUUUAUAAUGUCUACCUUUAGCGGCGUUUUUGGCAAAAACGCCACUAAGGAAUUUAAAUUCUUUUACCAAAACGGUGCCGUUUUGGAAAAUUUGUAUAUAUAGUAGCGGCGUUUUUUCUAAAAACGCCGCUAAAUUUCACAUUAUUUAUUUAUUUAUUGUAUUUUCUUUAAAAUUUUUAGUAAAUAAUUUAUUCAAUUACUCAAAUAUAUAAAGUUAUUUAAGAAUUAUAUUCCGAAUUUUAAUAGUUUAAAACAAUUGCAUUUGCGGAAUAGCAAUUCUUAAAUUUAAACAUCAAAUAAUGUAAUAAGCUGCAAAGUCAAGUGCAAAUUUAGCUAAAAUGGUAAAUAAAACUCCCUUCUAAACAUGAAAAAUAAUAAUUAAACUAUACAACUAAAAUAUAACCAAAAAAAUUAAACUAUACAAAAAAAAAUAUAACCAACUUAAAGAUCCAGCUAGCAAUCUGUUUUGUUCUUUUUUAUUUUUGCCUUUCAAUAAAUUUGCCUUUCUGGGUUGCCUGACCCAUCAUCACGUUUGUAUAUUGUACAUACAGAUGUUGGAACCGAUAUUUCCCAAUGGAGGACUUCUGCAUCUUGGUUACUAGGAAUAUUCCAAAUUUACCUCACCUAUAUUAACCCAAAUUUAAAGCCGAGCCAAUCUGACUUGAUAAGUUAACAACUCAAAUACAUUUAAGCAUAACUUCAAUUCAUUUCAACUGAAAUGGAUUAAACCUAAUACUUAUCGGGAGUAAAAAAAAGUAAUUCCCAUGCGCAAAAAAUAUUCAACAAAUUUGUAAUGAUAAAUGACAGGAAGUUGAAAUUAUUCAAACAAACCGGAUAAAUGACUGGAAGUUGAAAUUAUUCAAACAAACCGGAUAAAUGACAAGAUUAUCUAAGUUCAAAAGCUUCAGCUUUAAACUCAAAUAGAUGAAAUCCGUAAUGAUUUCAACUCAAAAAAUAUUCAACAAAUUUGUAAUUAACAUGCGCAAAAAAUGUCAAAUGAAUAAAUAUUAGAACCCAUCAAUAAUUUAUUCCUUCUACUGAAAAUUAUUUCAUUCAAAUUGCCCAUUCCCAAUUGAUUCAUUCCAAAUAAAUAAAACCCUGAAUCCCAAAUAAACAAAACCCUAAAAUUUUAUUUUUAUGACAGAAUCGGUUUAAUCGAAACCCUAAAUCCCAAAUAAACAAAACCCUAAAAUUUUAAUCGGUCAUCGACAGAAAUGGCUUACCUGUGAUACAAAUCUCGCAGCUUUGCCCAACAAUGGUGUAAAGAUCGAUUCCAAACUUCUGUUGAUUCCUGAGAUGUCGGCUCCUUUUUUUUUCUUGCUAUUUUUUUUAUUUUCUUCCCUGUCGAAUCGCUGCUGUUACUCUGCUUAAGUUUCUUCAAAUUUUGGUAAAGGAGACGGAGGGGAGGGAUUAAGUAAAUAUGUCCUCUUAGGAAACAACACCGUUUAAGGUAAUUUUAAGUCUCGUUUGCGGCGUUUUUAAAAAAAAAUACCUCUAUUGUAUUCACAUUUGCGGCGUUUUAGACAAAAAUGCCACUAAUAUUUUAAAGCACGUAAAGAAACGACGCCGUUUUAAUAAAUUAUAGUGCCUGUUCUGGCGUUUUCUGAAAAAAUGCCACAAAAAUUAAUUACCUGAAUUAAACCGACAUCGUUUUUACAAACACUUAUAUAUUCUUACGGCGUUUUCAAUAAAACACCAGUAACAGAUUCUAUUCUUCCACUGAAACGGCACCAUUUUUCCAAAUUUUAAAUUUUAUCCAUAAACUGAAACGACGUCGUAUCAAAACAGCUUGGAAAUUUUUUGUGGCGUUUUUAUAAUGUCUACCUUUAGCAGCGUUUUUGGCAAAAACGCCACUAAGGAAUUUAAAUUCUUUUACCAAAACGGUGCCGUUUUGGAAAAUUUGUAUAUAUAGUAGCGGCGUUUUUUCUAAAAACGCCGCUAAAUUUCACAUUAUUUAUUUAUUUAUUGUAUUUUCUUUAAAAUUUUUAGUAAAUAAUUAUUAAAAUUUUAAGUAAUAUUUAAAAGUUUUUGAUAAAAUUAUAAAUUUUAGUUUUUUAUUUCCUUUUUAUAUUUUUUUUGUUUUUUCUUAUAUUUUGGUCCUGUCCAAAUUAAAUAAUUAAUUACCUAUAUAUAUAUUCAUAUAAAAAAUAUCAAAUUGUUAAGGUUAAAUAUUAUUAAGCACAUAUUUAAUAUAUAAAUUAAUAAAACUAAUUAAUCUGAGCUUAAACCUUAAUCUCUAAACCUUAAAUCACUAACUCUUAACCUUUAACCCUAAACCCCAAACCCCUACCCUUAAACCCUAAACAUUGUUUAAUAUAUAAAUUAAAAAACACUAAUUAAUCUAAAUCCUAAACCCUAAAUUGACCCCGAAUCACUAACCCCUAACCCCUAAACAUUAUUUAAUAUAUAAAUUAAAAAACACUAAUUAAUCUAAAUCCUAAACCCUAACUCGACCCCGAAUCACUAACCCUUAACCCCUAAAUAUUAUUUAAUAUAUAAAUUAAAAAACACUAAUUAAUCUAAAUUAACCCUAAAUCCCUAACCCCUAAACAUUAUUUAAUAUUAUAUAAUUUAAAAUAUAUUAAUUAGUCUAAACCCUAAACUCUAACCUAACACUGAAUCCAUAAACCCUAAACUUCUAACCUUUAACCUCUAACUCUAACCCCUAACCCCUAAAUAAACCUUAAAUCACAACCCUUAAAUCAAAAUCCCUAAUUCCAUAAUCUAUAAACCUUAAAAUUGUAACUCUUAAACCGGCCCUACUAAAUCCUAAAUUAACCAUAUAUAUAUACCCUAAACUAUAAUGAUAAUUAAAUUAAAUAUUUUAAAAUUAAUACUAUCGUAUCUUUUACAAUUAUAUUUGAAAUUAUUUAAUAUAUAAAUUAAAAAUCAAUCAAUUAUGUACCCAAAAAAAUUUAAAAUUAUUUUAAAUAAUAGUAUUUUAAUUUCUCCAUUUUUAACAAAUAUUUUUCUAUGUUUUUUUUAUUUCAAAUUAUUUCUACGUGUCAUUAUUUCAAAUUUAUCUAUUUUUAACAAAUAUUCAAUUAAAAAUAAAUUGGAUUUUAAUUAAUAUAAAUAAACAAAUUACAUAGCAAAUAGAUAGAUAAAAUGUUUUUGCGGCGCUUCCUUAAAAAAUGCCGCUAAAGGUACGAGCAUUAGCGGCGCUUAUUAAAAAACGCCACUAAAGACCUGAGCACACUACACCAAAACAGGCUUUUAGCGGCACAUUUUGUGGCGUUUAGAUAGAAAACGCCGCUAAAAAAUGAGAAAUAACGGCGCUUCAUAUAAAACGCCACAAAAAUAUAAUUAGUGGCGUUUUUUUAAAAAACGCCGCAAAAAUCGAAACCCAACGACGCCGUUUUCUAACUUUUCGGGGGCUUUAGCGGCGUUUUUAUGUAAGCGCCGCUAAUGUUCUGGGAUUUAGCGGCGUUUUGUUUUAAGCGCCGCUAAUGUUCUGGGAUUUAGCGGCAUUUUUAUUUAAGCGCCGCUAAUGUUCUGGGAUUUAGUGGCGUUUUUAAUUAAGCGCCGCUAAUGUUCUGGGCUUUAGCGGCGUUUUUAUUGAUGCACCGCUAAUUCGCAGGCCUUUAGCGGCGCUUUUUUAAAAAACGCCGCUAAUGCUCUUCAUUUAGUGGCAUUUUUGGAAAGAGCCGCAAAAAAAUUAUUUACCUAUUUAUUAUUUAAUUGAUUUAUUUAUAUUAAUUAAAAUUAGAUGUUUUCAUUUAAGUUACCAUUAAGCUGUUAAAAUCGACGCCGGCCAUAUGGCUUUCUCAAAACCCUUUAACCCUAAAUUUAUAAUUCUUAAAACCUUAAACCCCUAAAAAUUUCAAAAAAAUAUAUUAAUGUAAAAGCUUAUAUAUGUUUAUAAACAUGAUGUACAUGUAUAUACAUAGAUAUAUAUAUUAAUGUAAAAGCUUGUAUAUGUUUAUAAAAAAUUGUGGAAGCAGUACUUAAUAUUGAUUAUAAAUUUUGGGGUUUAGGGUUUAAUUGAUGGUUUAAGGGCUAUAGUAUGUAGUUUAAGGGUUUUAUAGUUUAAGGUUUAAUGUUUACUAUAGUAUGUAGUUUAAGGGUUUUAUAGUUUAUGGUUUAGGGUUUGUUAUAUUGGGUUUGUGAUUUAGUGUUUUAAAGUUUGGAGUUUAGUUUUUAUAGUCAGAGUCUUAGUGUUUAAUUAUGGUUUUAAGGGCCGGUUAGGGUAUUAGGGUUUAAGGGUUAGGGAUUUUGGUAAAAAAUAUAAAGUUAUUUUAGGGUUCAAACAAGCAAUAAGAUUCUUUUUAAUUACUUUUAAUUGUAACUUAUAAUAUAUAUUAUGGUUUAAAGUUUAUGGUGUUAGGGUACAUUUUGUGUUUAGUAUUUUAGGUUCAGUGGUUAAUGUUGUUAUUUGGAUUUAGGGUUUACGAUUUAGGGUAUGGUUUAUGGUAUAGUUUUUAAUUGUUAGUGUCUUAUUGUUUAUGGCUGUAACGGUUUAAGGUUUAUAAAAAAUGACAAAAAUUAAUUUAAUUUUAGUGUUUAUGCAUUAUUGGCGUUUUAGUAAAAAAUGCCACAAAUAUGUCACAGUAUGCAAAACGAUGACGUAUUAUUUUGUGUUUCUAGUGGCGUUUAUAGAAAACGCCGCAAAUUUGUUUCAGAAAUGGCAAAACGUUGCGUUUUGAUCUGUGUUCUUAGUGGCGUUUUCUACAAAACGCCGCAAAAUGAUAGAAAUUAGUGGCGCUUUUUUAAGCUGCGCCACAAAAUUUGUGCCUGAUACUACAAAACGGUACGUUUUGAUGCAAAAUUUUAGUGGCGUUUUUUCGUAAAACGCUGUUAAAGGACUAUGCUUUAGUGGCGCUUUAGCAGAAAACGCCACAAAAUAGGUUUUAAUAGUUUCUCAAACGGUGCCGUUUGUUCCUAUGAUUUUAGUGGCGCUUAUUAAGAAACGCCACAAUAUUUAAUUAAAACUAACAUAAACGACAUCGUUUUAUUAGCCCUGAAUUUCCUUUAAUUUCCCCCAUGUCAGAUUUCCCCGAUUUUGAAUGUUCAUUGCUUGUUUGAAUAUAUGGAGAGUAAUUUUAAAAGUUGUUUUGUAUUUAUAUAUAUAUGUAUACUUUUAUAAUAUAAAAAUGAAAUGAAUAAUAAUAAUUUAAUAGGGAUGAAUCUAGUUUAAGUUUAAAAUGGCAUUAAUAAGGUAAAUUAUACAAUCGGUAAUCCAAUUUUUAUAAGUUUUCAUUUUAAUAUCUUAUUUUAUCUUUUUUCAAUUUUAGUUUUUAUGUUUUGGCUUUAAUUUCAAUUUUAUUUUUUUAUGAUUCGGAAUCAAAAAUAAAAUCAUUCAGGAUCGAAUUCAAGUCUUCAUGUCUAAAAAUGAACCAAAGUCAAGGGAAACCUUGGAUUUUACAGGUACAAACUUGGAUUUUACAAGGAAUUAUUUGAAUUUCUAUAGAAAAACCAAUUUAUAUACGUAUUUUUAUAAUUUCCCUUUUUUUAGAAAUAAUUUUAUUUUAGUGUUUAUUAAAAAAGACAUGUGGAAUUGAUUUUAUUUUAGUGUUGAUGCAUUAGUGGCGUUAUUGUAAAAAACGCCACAAAUAUGUCACAGUAUGCAAAACGAUGACGUUUUAAAUUUUGUUACUAGUGGCGUUUAUAGAAAACGCCGCAACUUUGUUUCAGAAAUGGCUAAACAGUGCGUUUUGAUCUGUGUUCUUAGCGGCGUUUUUACCAAACGCCGCAAAAGGAUAGAAAUUACUGGCGUUUUUUUAAAUUGCGCCGCAAAUUUAGGCCUUGAUACUGCGGAACGGUACGUUUUGAUGCAAAAUUUUAGUGGUGUUUUUUGUAAAACGCCGUAAAAGGACUAUGCUUUAGUGGCGCUUUAGCAGAAAACGCCACAAAUAGGUUUUAAUAGUUUCCCAAACGGUGCCGUUUUUCUUAUGCUUUAGUGGCGCUUUUUAAGAAACGCCACAAAAUUUAAUUAUACUAACCUAAACAUCGUCGUUUUAUUAACCCCGAAUUCCUUUACUUUGUCCCCCAAUUCAGAUUUACCCGAUCGACAAAAUUUCCCCCAUUUCCUUUCGCUGUUUCCCCUAAAUUUCCCUAGGUUAUUCUUCCCUAAAUUUUUUUCCCCAAUCCUGAAACUUGCAAUCCCAUUGUGAUCCAAACCCCCAAUUCCCCAAAUCCCAUUAUUUCUCAUCCGGUUCGUCCAUGCUACUUCCAUUUUCUCCCAAACCGAAACUGUUUCCUUUCAAAAUUUAAAUCUUCCAAUCCGCCGUAAAGCUCGAAUCUUUAACCCAAAGGUGUUGGAACUGCGUCGCAUACAAGACAGGAACAACGCCGUUACUCUAUUUUGGUUCCUGCAUUCGACCCCUUGCUUAUUCUCGAUUUUGGGGUGUAAGUGUUCUUCCUUCUUUUUCCCGGUAGUAUAGAAUUUUAAUUUAAUUUUUUGUUGAAUUAGUAUUAUCAUUAUAAUAAUCCCUUCUCUGUUAUAAAUAUUGGUUGCAGUUAAUUAGUUAAAUGUUGUACUUAAUUAAAUUAUUAUCUACAACAAUCCAUUUGUGUAAAAGUUUAUUUUUAUUGCAAUGAAAAAUAUAGUUCAUCUAAUAUUAUAAGUUUAGAGCAGGUUAAGCCGCAUAUCAAUUUUGAGUAAAUUUUAUCAAAAACCUAAUACUUUUACGAUUUAAAAAUUGAAUUGUAAUUUGAUUUUUUUAAAUUUUAAAAACACCUUAGAAACACUUCUAAGCAUCUGUGGACAAAAGUCAAACCUCUUAUAUUUCAUUUUCGGUAAAAUGACAUGUAAGAAAGGUUCAAGUAAGUUGUAGCAUGGUGCCUUGCUUUCUGCUUUAAUGUAAAUAUUUUGCUGAUGUUUAAGGAAAUUGUUGGUUCUAUUUAUAAAAAAGAACAGUCAACAGUUACUGCAGGAGUGCGGUUUUGGGUUGCCAUAAUGAUAAACUAUGAAUUUGGAUUCCAUCUUUUAAAAACUCCUGUUUAUAUAUUCUAAUUGUAUUUUGUAUUUUGGAAAUCGUAAAACUGUUUAUUUGUUAUUGGUUAUUGUUAUUUACCAUGUGUAGGUCUAAGUAUAUCAUAAAACUAGAGGCAUUCGUAUGUCUAUUUUAUAUGUUAAUGGGAAUUAUUAUUGAAGUUGCAGUUGUUUAUGCACCGAGCUACCGAAAACAAAUACUAUUUUUGUUUGACUAAGUUUUAUCUUAGUAGUUUUCUACCCUUAGAUUUGACUAAGUUUUAUCCUCUAUAAUAUUUUUUGUAUUCUUGUAUAUAUUCUGACUUGUUAAUACUUGUCGGCAGCCCUCUGCUGCAUUUAAUCAGUUACUGCUUCCUGCUCCUCCUGCAACUAUAUUGGUUCAACUGAAGCUGGCAUUUAAUCUUCGAAUUGUGGAAUGGUAGUGAUAUUAAUAAAGUUUUUAUAUUUGGUUCAACUGACUUACAUAAUAUUUUCAUGUGCUAAUCGUAUAAUCUUACAUCUGUCCUAGGUACUAUCGAGCACCUGAAUUAAUAUUUGGUGCAACCGAAUACACCUGAAUUAAUAUUGCUUGGGCAGGUACACGAUUCGUUGCAAAAUUUAUUUGCUUAUUUAUAUGCAUUUUCCCUUUAAAUUACUCAACAAAUACCAUUUUUCUGACUGCAGCCUCUGUUUGCCAGUAAGAGUGGAGUAGUCCAGGGUGUUGAAAUUAUUAAGGUACCUUUUAGUUCAAAAUUCUAAUCAAUAAUAGUUUUAUCAUGAUGAUUUCUGAAAAUUUAAUCUUUUGGGGCUCCGAUUAUGUAUAGAUUUAAUUGUUGGAUUUCCUUUCAAUUAUUUGGACUAAUUGAUAUGGUGGUAUUAUGGUGGUGCAUGCUGCUACUGCCGCUUAUUUUUUAAUAUAUAAUCAUUCAUCUAUUACAAGUCUCUAUUUAAUUUAUUUAAGGAAAGAAUGCACAUUUAUUUAAUUCACCCAAAUACCAUAAAUAUUUUGGGAAAAAAUGUCUCAGAUAAUGGAGCAAAUUUAGACAGUAGUAUAAUGUGGAAUAUUUGAUUUGAUUUUGUAUAGAUUUUGUAUAUUAAUGUAUAGGGACUAAUUGAUGAUACUUUUACUAAAGGAAUCUAAAUAUAAUGUUUUCAUGUGCCCUGCCAUCAGCAUUGCCGUUAAUUACAGCAUCGAUUACUGCAUAGGAUUCGUAUGACCCAAAUUAAAUAAAUAAUUAAAUUACAUAAUUUUAUAAAAUUGGGAGUAUCCUUUUCUAAUCUAAUUUCUUUUCACAUUUAACUUUCAUUCAUAUCGAUUAUGAUACCCUGUUUAAAUCUUCUUCCAUUUGUCAACUAUUUCAUUUCCAAAAUCCGUUUGUCAACUAUUUCAUUUCCAAAAAUAUAUUUUGGUUUGUUCUCUUUUAUUUUUUAUUUACCUAAUUAAAUAAAUUUUAUUUAAAGUUAUAUUUUAAAUAUUUUAAUUUAUUUUAAUCACGAAUUUUUUAAAAUAUAUUUUUUUAAAGUUCAAAUUUCAUAACUUACGUAUUUUACAUAAUUUACAUAAUUCAUAAUUUACAAAAUUUAAAUAUAUAAUACUUGGUUCUACAUAACUUAUUAAUAUUUAUAUAUAGUUUUAAUACAUAUAAUUUUAAAAUUAUAUAUCCUACAUAAUAUCCUAACUUACAUAGUAUCGUACAUAAUAACUUACAAAAACUUACAUAAUAACCUACAUAAUAACUUAUAUAACAAUACAUAACCUACAUAAAUUAAAAAAGUUCUACGCAUAACACACAAAAACAAUAACUUACAUAACUUACAUAAAUUAAAUAACUUACAUAACUUACAUAAACUUGCAUAAAUUAAAUAACUUGCAUAAAUUAAAUAACUUACAUAACUUACAUAACCUACAUAACUUACAUAAAUUAAGUAACUUUACGGAAACUUACAUAACUUACAUAACCUACAUAACUUACGUAAAUUAAGUAACUUACAUAACUUACAUAAACUUGCAUAAAUUAAAUAACUUACAUAACUUACAUAACCUACAUAACUUACAUAAAUUAAGUAACUUUACGGAACUUACAUAACUUACAUAACCUACAUAACUUACGUAAAUUAAGUAACUUACAUAACUUACAUAACCUACAUUAGAGGUGCUCGCCCGGCCCGAUGGCCCGCCCGAAAUAUGGGAGGGUUUAGGUAAAAAUAUAGGCCCGAAAUAUGGGCUUGGGCAAAAAAACGAGGCCCGUUUAAAAAACGGGCCGGGCCUCGGGCACCACUUUUUCGGCCCGGCCCGGCCCGAUAUAAUAAAUAUAGUUAUUUUUUUAAAUUUUAAAAUAUUUUUUACAUACUUUUUUAAUUUUUUUUAAAUUUUAAAAUAUUUUUAAAAUACUUUUUUUACUUUUUUUAAUUUUUUUAAUUUUAAAAUAUUUUAAAAUACUUUUUUAAUUUUUUUUAAUUUUAAAAUUUUUUUAAAAUAUUUUUAAAAUACUUUUUAAAAUACUUUUUAAAAUUUUUAAAAAAUUUUAAAAUAAAAAUGGGCCGGGCGGGGCCGGGCCCGGGCUUAUGAUUUUUUCCCGGGCCGGGCCUGAGCAAAAUCUUAGGCCCAUAUUUCGGGCCGGGCCGAGCCCGGGCCCGGGCCUAGGAUCCGGGCCGAAAUUUUUUUAUGGGCCCGGCACGAACCCGGCCCAGCCCGACCCAUGAGCACCUCUAACCUACAUAAAUAAAAUAACUUACAUAACUUACAUAACCUACAUAACUUACAUAACUUACAUAAACUUGCAUAAAUUAAAUAACUUACAUAACGUACAUAAAUUAAAUAACUUACAUAAAUUAAGUAACUUACAUAACUUACAUAAACUUGCAUAAAUUAAAUAACUUGCAUAAAUUAAAUAACUUACAUAACUUACAUAACCUACAUAACUUACAUAAAUUAAGUAACUUUACGGAACUUACAUAACUUACAUAACCCACAUAACUUACGUAAAUUAAGUAACUUACAUAACUUACAUAACCUACAUAAAUAAAAUAACUUACAUAACUUACAUAAAUUAAAUAACUUACAUAACUUACAUAAACUUGCAUAAAUUAAAUAACUUACAUAACUUACAUAACGUACAUAAAUUAAAUAACUUGCAUAACUUACAUAAAUUAAGUAACUUACAUAACUUACAUAAACUUGCAUAAAUUAAAUAACUUACAUAACUUACAUAACCUACAUAAAUUUCAAUGGGUUACAUAACUUACAUAACCUAUAUAAAUUAAAUAACUUACAUAACUUACAUAAAUUAAGUAACUUACCCGUGCAAAUUCUUGUCAACGUCAGACUUCAAGAAUUAAGAAAUGGACCGGUCUUGGAUGAAUUUGUCAAGGGUUAGCAACGACUAUCGAAAUGGAGUACAGUAUUUUCUAAAUUUUGCAUUUCAAUAUGCAAGCCAAGAGAACAUGAUUCUUUGCCCCUGUAAGAAGUGUGUCAACAUAAACUGGCAUUAUCGUGAGGUUGUAUACGAGCAUCUAAUUGUUGAUGGGUUUAUUCGGGGUUAUAAACAAUGGUUAUUUCAUGGAGAAUGUCCGCCUAGUACUUCCUCUUCAAAAAUGGAUGUGUCUUAUUCUGGUACUGCUUACCAUCAGUCUGAUAGAGGGGAUGACAUGGAAGGUAUGUUGCGGGAUGCAUUUAAUAUGCACAAUCAUGGUGUCCAGUCGUUCCCAGCGGACUUUGUGACUUCCGAGGAUUGUAAUAUUGGGAGAAAUGCUUUUACCGAACCGGGAAGUAGUGUACCUCAUGAAGAGCCGAAUGAAGAAGCGGCGAAGUUCUACGCGCUACUUAAUGACAUGAACGAAGAACUGUAUGAGGGAUCAAAAUUUUCAAAAAUGUCUUUCUCUGUUCGUCUUUUUCAGUUAAAAUGUUUGGGAGGGUGGACCGGAAACUCGUUGACAAUGCUGUUAGAGUUUUUACGAGAAAUGUUUCUGUUUGCAAAAAUCCCUCAGUCAUGCAAAGAUAUGAAGAAAAUGAUAAAAGAUUUAGGCCUUGGGUACAACAAAAUCCAUAGUUGCCAAAAUGACUGUAUGUUGUAUUGGGGCGAGAGAAAUGACCAACAGUGCUGUCAUGUAUGCGGCCAAUCCCGUUGGAUUAGUAGAAACACAGAAGAUGGGAAGGACGAUGAAAAUGAUGCACAGUCGAAAAAGAAGCCAGUCAAGAUUUUGCGGUAUUUUCCCCUGAUACCAAGGCUUCAAAGGUUAUUCAUGUCGUCUAAGACAGCGGAGUCAAUGACGUGGCACCAUGAUGGACGAACCGAUGAUGGAUUACUAAGGCAUCCGGCAGAUUCUUUAGCUUGGAAAUCAUUUGACAAUAAAUUUCCAGGCUUUACAAGCGAUCCUAGGAGUGUGAGGCUUGGGCUAGCAUCUGAUGGAUUUAAUCCUUUCAAGAUCAUGAGCACUGCGUACAGUACUUGGCCAGUAGUGCUUGUUCCUUAUAAUCUGCCUCCGUGGAUUUGCAUGAAGCAAUCUUCCCUUAUCUUAUCUAUGAUUAUCCCUGGUGAGAAAGGGCCCGGGAAUGAUAUCGACAUUUAUUUACAGCCACUUAUUGAAGAGUUAAAACAAUUAUGGGCUGGUGUCGAGACAUAUGAUGUGGUGAGAAAGGAGAACUUUAAUUUACGUGCGGCUUUGAUGUGGACCAUUAAUGACUUUCCUGCUUAUGCCAAUUUAUCUGGUUGGAGUACCAAGGGUCGUUAUGUGUGUCCUUGUUGUGCUGCACAAAUAUGUUCGCAAUGGUUGUACAAUGGGAAGAAGUUUUCUUACAUGGGGCAUCGUCGGUGGUUACCGGAAAAUCAUAGAUUUAGAUUUCCGAGUUCUGUAUUUGACGGCACUGAAGAGUUCAGAGAAGCUCCUUCCCAGACCAGUGGCUCUGAAAUCUUGUUCAUGUUGGAAGAUAUGAAUUUUAUAUAUGGGAAGAUAAACCAACCGCCAAACACACAGAGAAACAAAAGAUCAAAUGAUGAAGCUGAUGAAAGCUCUGACGAAGAGGACGAUCCCAAUGAGGCGGACUUGUGGAAAAAAAGAAGUAUUUUUUUUUGAGUUGCCUUAUUGGGAGCUUCACCUUUUACGACACAAUCUUGAUGUUAUGCACAUUGAGAAAAAUGUCUGCGAGAACAUUGUGGGUACAAUUUUGAACGUCGAUAGAAAAUCAAAAGACAAUCUUCAGAGUCGACUUGAUUUAGUCCAAAUGAGAAUCCGACCUGAUCUUCAUCCCAAUCCACUCCCGAAUGGGAAAUAUCGGUUGCCGCCUUCUAUUUUUUCAAUGUCGAAGACGGAAAAAGACGUGUUUUGCACGGUGUUGAAGGAUAUAAAGGUUCCAGAUGCGUAUGCAUCAAAUAUAUCUCGAUGUGUUAGUGUUAAAGAUUGAAGAUUAUAUUCGCUAAAAUCACAUGACUAUUACAUCUUGAUGCAAGAUUUACUGCCAGUUGCUCUACGAUGUUGUAUGUCGAAGAAGGUAACGUCUUGUAUAAUUGAACUGUCCAAUAUAAUGAAAGCCAUUUAUGGAAAAUUUUUGGAUGUUCAAGAACUUCAGAAGGUACAAGAUCGAGCUGCUUUGACUUUAUGCAACUUGGAGAAAAUCUUCCCACCUUCUUUCUUCACUAUUAUGGUUCACUUGAUAAUCCAUCUCCCGCAUGAAGCAAUUCUUGGCGGACCCGUUUUCUAUCAAUGGAUGUAUCCCAUAGAAAGGUGUUAAUUUAUUUUUAAAAUUUUUCCUCAUUCACCUAAAGUUGUUUUAGUUACAACUUUUGAUAAUUUGUAUAUUGUUUUUAGGUUCCUAUCCAAACUAAAGUCUUAUUGUCGCAACAAGCGUUAUCCAGAAGGAUCGAUUGCUGAAGGCUACUUGGCAGAAGUAUGACCUUCUGUUCAAGAUAUUUGGAAGAUGUUGAAACAAGGUUGAACAGACCAAGUAGAAAUGCUGGACUCACGGAACAUAACUCUGCCGAUUCUUAUCUGUUCCAAAGUUUUGGAGAACCAAUCGGCAAAGUUGAUAUUACAGAAUUAGAUGAUUUAUCGUGGGUACAAGCACAUCGAUAUGUUCUGUUUCACCAUGAAUCAAUGGAACCAUUACGGAAGUAAGUUGUAGAAAUUUGAUAAAUAUUCAUCAAUCCAAAAUUGUUUAUAUUCUAACAAAGUGAACAUUUUUUAACAUAGUGAGUACAAACAAAUAUUGUGAUCUCGUUCGCGCUCCCGAAGAACACAACAUCGAGAUAUCAAUAAGUUGUUCACUGAAACUUUUCAUGAAUGGUUAAGCCAAACGGUAUGUAAUUGGAGCUUCAUUUAAAAAUAAUAAAGUUUUCUCAUUACAUUUUUAAUUAUUCAGUUUACUUUCCAUUCACUAGGUUUGGAGUGGGAAGAAUGUGAAUGAAGAAGUUAAAUGGCUUUCCCAUGGUCCAAAUCGAGUGGUUAAAAGAUAUAGUGCGUUCCUCAUCAACGGAUUCAGAUUUCAUACAAAAUAUCGCGAGAGAUUGAGGAGAACGCAAAAUUGUGGAAUAAUUGUUAAUUCCUCAAUUACAAAUUAUGCUAGUGCUAGGGACAAUAAUCCUGUCCAGGGAAAUGUGGAAUAUUUCGGACUUCUUACUGACAUAAUUGAGUUAGAUUACUACAGCAAAUGGAAAGUUGUCUUAUUUCGAGGUGAUUGGGCCGAUGUUAAUACUGCUCGUGGAAUUAAGCAAGAUCAAUUUGGUUUUACAAUGGUCAACUUCGCUCGAUUGAUUCACACAGGACAACAACUGAUAGAUGAGCCGUAUGUAUUCUCAUCUCAAGUCAGACAAGUUUUUUACUCAAAAGAUCCAACCGACGAGUGUUGGUACGUUGUACUUCGUAACAUCCCUAGAGACUUGUUUGAUAUGGGCAGUGGAAGUAGAGAUAAUAUCGAUGAUAGAUCAGAAACUGUGCCCUUUCCGGAACAACACUUAAACGAAAAUAUCCCUAGUACUAGUACGCAAUUUCAAUGGGUUCGCCAGGAUGCAGAUGAAGAUAUUUACGAAUAAUGAUUUAGUAAGAAUAUACGAUUGUUUAAUUAUAUGUAUAUCAUAAUUUAAAUCUUGGUCUUAUUAUAUAUUUCGACUAUUUGAUAUUCGCUGUUAUUGUUGUAAUUAGUUACUAAGUUGUCAACUAUUUUAUAUGUAUUGCAGUUCAAAAUGCCCAGAAGAAAAAUGCGAGACGUAGGCAUUGUUCAAAGUGCUCCAAACUCGGCAGAAAUAAAUAGUGAAGAACAGACAGGAAUUGGAUCUUCGAAUGUUCCGAUUAUACCUGAGGAUCCUACAGAAGUUCAAAGUAAUUUUACAUUUAAUUUACAUACGUGUUGACUUGUAAUUGGUUUAUUUUUCAAAAUCUUAUAUUAUAAUAUACCAUUUUUCAGCUAAAAAUGGUAGGACGUGCAGAGGUCGAGGUCGUACGCUACUUAGCGAGUUGUACGAGUUAGAUCCAGUCGAGCGUGUCAAAGUAUGCAGAAACAGUUUUGGUCAGCCUGUUGGAACAGAAGCUCGACUAUUAGCAGGAUACAUGGGCAUUUUAGCACGAAAUGCGAAUAUGUUGCCAAUCAACUACGACUCAUGGCAUCAAAUGCCCGAUAGUAACAAAAAUCAAGCCCUCGAUAAUAUUAAGGUAACAAAACGUUAAUGUCAUCUGUAAUACUUGGGAAUUAGUUUCACUUAUAUUUACUUUCUUAACUUGUGUUCUUUGUAGGCGAGGUUUGCCUUAGAGGUCUCGGAUGCCUAUGUAAAGAAGGCAUUGGGAAAAAGAUGGAGAGACCAUAAAAGUACUUUAAAGAGAGAUUAUUAUAAGGUAAAAACAACCCUUGAUAAGAAAUUGCAAAAUGUCCCGUCGGGUAUGCUGAGGUACCAAUGAGAAGAUGCGGUUAGAUUUUGGCAUUCGAAGAAAGGCGAGGUAUGAUGUACUUCUAAACUCUUGUAAUUAUUUUGGUUUAUUGUAUUUACUAUUUACGUACUAAUAAUUUCAUAACGUAGGAUCGUGAACGGGUUGGAAAAAACAGCAGGGAGAAACAAAAAUUCACGCACACAGUCGGGUCGAAAAGUUUUGCUUGUGUAGCUGAGGCUGAGGUAUUUUUAAUUUUUUAAUAUUGUCAAAUAUGUGUUACUUUCCAUUAAAUAAUAUUUUUACUACUAUAUUGUAGGAACGGUCGUCCGGUCAAAACGUUGGAUGCCUUCAACUUUUUGAGAUUACACAUAAGAAGAAAGAUGGAUCUCCUAUGACUCCUGAAGCUGCAGAAAUAAUUGUACGUUUACUUAAUACGAUUUUCUAAUAGUUUAAUUCAUUGCUUGUAAUGCUACUAUUUUUAACUUGUGUUGCAUUUGUUUUUUUAAUAUAUAUUGUGUUCCUAAAUAUGUGAUUUAUUUAUUAGGAGAAACUAAAUAAUAAAAAGGCAGAGUACGAAGCGAUUGCUUCUAGUGAUAGUUCUGUUCAUCUUGAAGACAUUGAUAACCGGAUUAUUACUGAAGUUAUGGGUCCUGAAAGGUAUGGUCGGGUUCGAUUUCAAUGAUCUUUUGUUAGCCCAACCCAAUAUUUUGGAUCCAACUCGCAGCAAUACAUGCGUUCGGGGAGUCAGGCUCAAGCUGAAGUUCAGAGGUUAAAAGACCAGAUGGCUCAGAUGCAAGCGACCACAGUUGAGGUUCAAAAGAAAUAUGAAGAACUCCAGCUACAACUUAGAGCAGAUGCGGCAGCGAGAGAAGCAGAGGUUCAAAAGAAAUAUGAAGAACUCCAGCAACAACUUAAAGCUGAUGCGGCAUCCAGAGAAGCAGAGGCUGCAGCGAGAGAAGCAGAGCAGAACAGAAAGUACGACGAACUCCAACAACAGCUUCAGAGUAUGAUGAAGAUGAUUCAGCACUCCCAACCUCCGUCGUCAUAGUGUAUUGUAUAAAUAUUUUUAUCAUUUUAACAUUUUUGUGAAAAUAAUAGAAUAUUGAUAUUAAUAUUAUAUUAUUCGUUUAAUUUGAAAUAUUAUAUAAAUUUAUUGCUAUUGGCUGGUCUAGAUUUAGUUGCUUUUGAUUUGUUGCUACAGGAGGGUUGAAAAAAAAAUUUGGUAUUUUUAAAAAACCCCAAAAUUAGUGGCGUUUUUUAAAAAAGCGCCGCUAAAACAACCAAACAAAAAGUGGCGUUUGUGAAAAAAGCGCCGCUAAAGAAUAUUAGCUUUGGCGGCGUUUGUGUUAGAAGCGCCGCUAAAGAACAUGUUCUUUAGCGGCGUUUGUGUAAAAAGCGCCGCUAAAGAACAUGUUCUUUAGCGGCGGUUGUGUAAAAAGCGCCGCUAAAGAACAUGUGCUUUAGCGGCGGUUGUGUAAAAAGCGCCGGUAAAGAACAUGUUCUUUAGCGGCGUUUGUGUAAAAAGCGCCGCUAAAGAACAUGUUCUUUAGCGGCGUUUGUGUAAAAAGCGCCGCUAAAGAACAUGUUCUUUUGCGGCGCUUUUAAAAAUAAACGCCGCAAAUAUUUGUGGCGUUGUCAUUAGCGGCAAUUUUAGUGGCGCUUUAGGAAGCGCCGUAAAUACUUUUAGUGGCGCUAAAAAGCGCCGCCAAAGGCUUAAAAAAAGGCCGCUAAAAACCUGUUUUGGUGUUGUGGCAUUAGCGGCGCUUAUUAAAAAACGCCGCUAAAGACUUGAGAAUUAGCGGCGCUUAUUAAAAAACGCCGCUAAAGACCUGAGCAUUAGUGGCGCUUAUUCAAAAACGCCGCUAAAGACCUAAGCAUUAGCGGCGCUUUUCAGAAAAUGCCGCUAAAGACCCCAAAAAACUCAGAAAACGGUGCCGUUGGGCUUAGGCUUUUUGCGGCGCUUUCCAAAAAACGCCGCUAAUGCUUAUUUUUAGCGGCGUUUUUUAAAAAUCGCCGCUAAUGAUCGACCUUUAGCGGCGUUUUUCCAAAAGCGCCGCUACUGCUUCAUUUUUAGUGGCGUUUUUUGUCCAAACGCUGCUAAAGGCUCCGCUAAAAGCCUGUUUUGGUAUAGUGAAUGGCUUUGAGAAUGCAUGACGAAUAAUAAUUUUCAGAUAAUCCCGGCAACCGAACCCAUACCACUUGGACUCUCACCUCAUCCUGAUUCAUCGAGAAAUCGGAUGACCAAGGACGGACUGUCAAAUAUUGCCCAAAUAUCACCCAUGAUCCAUUAGUUAACACAUUGUUGUAGCCAUCUUCCUCACUAAACCGAACCAGAAAAUAAUCAUUCUCCAAAUCCAUUAAUUGGAAUGGACUAUUUGUUUUCCACAAUAGUGUAACCCUAUUUAGCAAAGCAUUGAAUGUUAUUUUCCUAUCCAAUAGCUUAACAAUGAUUGUUUUUUUUCCAUCUUCUUCUCAAUGAAACCCUUCACCCGGUCAGAGAACGUAAUCGAUGGUAUCCCACCUACCAGUUCAGUCCUUACAUCACCAUCCUUAAUAUCAAAAUCAUCCACCAUCCGCAACUACUCCUUUGAACCGGGAGCACACAUAAGAGAAUGCUUAUAGCUCAUCUUUGGCAAUGAAUCCUCCAACACCUUCCUACCGUCCCCAUCCACUCUGGGAUCAUUUGAGUCAGGUGGUAACUCCGUUCUACGUCUAACCUUUAUCGUAACUCUAGCCACGCCUGAAUUGGAGAUAUCAGGAUUAGAACCCGACGUGAAAACCAGAGACCCACAUAAUUAUUUAAAUUUUACUUUUUAAAUAAUCACAUUUUACCGGACAAACAAGGUCAAAAAUUUAAAAUUCCUGCCAAAUAAUUAUUUUAUAGUGUUCAUUAAUGAGCGAAAAGAGAAAUAAUUCUUUGAUUCAAGACUUGGACUCCAAGUACUACGGGAUCUUCCACCACUUGGACUCCAAGUAAUAUUAAUGAUUAAAUAUUCUGUUUGGAUCUUUGUUUUUGAUGUUUUGCCACUGCCGUUCUCUUUCACAAAUAACUCUGAAUGGACUUUACUUGAGACCCACAUAAUUAUAUAUGCUGUUUCCACAGAAUAAACAAAUAAUAUGCUUAUGUAUGCUCUUGCAUCAGCAGCCUAUUGUACCUUUCUGAAAUGAUCGGACUCCACACUUGGCUGUAUAUAUAACAGAUAUUGGUACGCUAGUCUUACCAUUCACUUCACUUUUCCUUCUUUCUACUCGUAUUCCUAUGGGUUCCCAAACCCAGCAGCCUCACUUUGUGCUGUUCCCUUCCAUGGCCCAAGGCCACUUGAUCCCCAUGGUAGAUAUCGGUCGAUUGUUAGCGCAGCGUAACGUGAUUGUUACUAUAGUUACGACACCUCAUAAUGCAAGCAGAGUCCAGAAAACAAUUGAUCGAGCUGUUGAAUCAGGCCGCGCUAUCCGUUUAGUGCAGCUCCGGUUUCCAGGCAAAGAAGCAGGGUUACCAGACGGGGUUGAGAAUAUAGACAUGAUAUCUUCAAUGGAGGACUCGUUCAAAUUCUUCACUGCAGCAAACAGUAUGGACGAAGCAGUGCAGGAAUUAUUUGAGAAGCUAACACCACGCCCCAUUUGUAUUAUUUCGGACAUGUUUCUGCAUUACACCCUCAAAAUUGCUACCAAGUUUCAGGUCCCAAGGAUAUCGUUUCAUGGAAUUUGCUGCUUCUGUUAUCUUUGUGUGCACAAUCUGAAGUCCUCCAAGAUACUAGACAACGUAACAUCUGAUUACGAAUGCUUCAAGGUGCCAGGCUUGGCUGAAAAGGUCGAAUUUACUAAACCCCAGUUGCCGCUUAACCUUGAUGAAUCCUGGAAGGACGUUUUUGAUACAACAACAAAAGCUGACGAAGCAUCAUAUGGGGUUGUCAUAAAUAGUUUCGAAGAGCUGGAAUCACGAUACGUCAAAGAGUACAGGAAGAUAACAAAAGCUUGGUGCAUUGGUCCAGUUUCUCUGAGCCACAAAAAUGAGUUGGAUAAGGCUGAAAGAGGUAAGAAGGCUUCAAUCAAUGAGCAGCAGUGUUUGAAGUGGCUUGAUUCUCAGGAACCCAACUCUGUAAUUUAUGCUUGUCUUGGGAGCAUGAGCACUAUGAAAUCUCCCGAACUGAUAGAGUUGGGUUUGGGCUUGGAGGCCUCGAACAAGGCAUUCAUUUGGAUCUUAAGAGGAAAUAAUGAUGCGUCGAACCAGGUGAUGAAGUGGAUUGAAGAGGAUGGAUUUGAGGAAAGAAUAAAAGGGAGAGGAUUUGUAGUUGUGGGAUGGGCUCCCCAAGUGCUCAUUUUAUCACACCCUGCAAUAGGAGGGUUCCUAACUCAUUGUGGAUGGAACUCAACAAUCGAAGGCAUUUCUGCUGGCGUUCCAUUAUUAACAUUGCCACUUUUUGCAGACCAGUUUACCAAUGAGAGACUUGUAGUACAAAUACUAAAAAUCGGAGUGAGCGUUGGGGCCAAUGAACCUACGGCCUGGGGAGAUGAAAAAUCUGGGUUCAUGUUGAAGAAAGAACAUGUUAAAAACGCAAUAAACCAAUUGAUGAAUGAAGGAAAUGAAGGAAUAGAGAGAAGAAAACGAGCAAAAGUGUUUGGAGAGAAGGCAAAUAAAGCUGUUGAAGUAGGUGGAUCUUCUUAUCUUAAUAUGACACUACUAAUCCAAGAUAUAAUCCAACAAUCUUCAAAGAUGGGUGUGGAUAUGAUUCCAACCUCACAUCGCCAUGAGAACUAAGGAGAUAUAAUAAGAGCGAGGCUCUAUCUAAUAAGAAAACCGAGAUAACGUCAAAGAGUGAUUUAUUCGGUUGAUGUAGUUUUUUUGUUGUUGUUUUUUUGUGUUUCGUAUUAUUAUCAGU
This 33173-nucleotide long non-coding RNA is filed under the name Gossypium barbadense (sea-island cotton). RNAcentral's name for it is "long non-coding RNA (GBAR_LNC013266)". The record is from RNAcentral. Lineage: Eukaryota; Viridiplantae; Streptophyta; Magnoliopsida; Malvales; Malvaceae.